AAAGUCGUAAAACAUAAUAAUACUUCUCCAAGAUACACAAGGCAUAAAAAUACUUCUCCAAGAUACACAUCUAUUGAUUGUUCAACAAGAGCCGCACGCAGAGAGUUCACAUCAUACAUACCUGGCAAAAAAAAAAAUACAAAUCGUACGGCUGUAAACUGUGGCGGGCCAAUGAGGUACAACACGGCUUCUUCGGAUAGUUUUUCUACACAAACCUACAUAAAUACGGGCACUCUACGUCCAUAUUUAUAAAUACCUGGCAAAAAAAAAAAACUACAAAACUUACGGCUGUAAACUGUGGUGGCACAAUCGGGUACAACACGGCUUCUUCGGAUAGUUUUUUACACACCCCUACAUAAAUACGGGCAAUCUGAGGGAUCUGAGGGCCCCGAGAAGACUCGCAAGUAGAACCAAUACUUUGUUCUGACACUGAUUCGGCUAUCGGAAAAUAUAGACUGUGUUCAUCGGGUACAAGAUCUGAUGUGUGACUGGAUAAAAAUAUCAUAUUUUGUUACUAAUAAUUAUAUUACUCGUGAUUAUAUUUUGAUACUAAAGUACA
Drosophila pseudoobscura is the source of this 559-nucleotide long non-coding RNA. RefSeq lists it as uncharacterized. Lineage: Eukaryota; Metazoa; Arthropoda; Insecta; Diptera; Drosophilidae. The record is from RefSeq and is a predicted model, not a curated record. The transcript is spliced from 4 exons.